UACGGGGGGGGCAAGCGUUGUUCGGAAUUACUGGGCGUAAAGGGUUCGUAGGUGGCCAACUAAGUCAGACGUGAAAUCCCUCAGCUUAACUGGGGAACUGCGUCUGAUACUGGUUGGCUUGAGUGCAGGAGAGGAACGCGGAAUUCCAGGUGUAGCGGUGAAAUGCGUAGAUAUCUGGAGGAACACCGGUGGCGAAGGCGGCGUUCUGGACUGCAACUGACACUGAGGAACGAAAGCCAGGGGAGCAAAC
Molecule: ribosomal RNA, 250 nt
Filed under: uncultured bacterium
Lineage: Bacteria
Description: partial 16S ribosomal RNA
Rfam family: Bacterial small subunit ribosomal RNA
Source: RNAcentral